Molecule: ribosomal RNA, 82 nt
Filed under: Nocardia farcinica
Lineage: Bacteria; Bacillati; Actinomycetota; Actinomycetes; Mycobacteriales; Nocardiaceae
Description: partial 23S ribosomal RNA
Rfam family: Bacterial large subunit ribosomal RNA
Source: RNAcentral
UUGUAAGUGUUUAAGAGCGUUCGGUGGAUGCCUUGGCACCAGGAGCCGAUGAAGGACGUAGGAGGCUGCGAUAAGCCUCGGG